GGAGCUGAUGGAUUGACUCUUUAGAGAACCCUUUGGGAGGUUUGUGUGUGUUGGAGCUGAACAAAGUGUACUAGCCGUAUGUUGUAUGGAAUAGACGGCUAGUGAUCGAGCAUGUAGUGUCCUGUGCUAGUUGCAUUGUUGCAUUUUAUGCAAUGAGUUUGAGCAACGUGAGAUAACAAGUUGAUUGAUGGGUUCGGUAUGAUGUCCUCG
Molecule: long non-coding RNA, 210 nt
Filed under: Ananas comosus (pineapple)
Lineage: Eukaryota; Viridiplantae; Streptophyta; Magnoliopsida; Poales; Bromeliaceae
Description: long non-coding RNA (ACOM_LNC043139)
Source: RNAcentral